GGUUAACCGAAUAGGGGAGCCGAAGGGAAACCGAGUCUUAACUGGGCGUUAAGUUGCAGGGUAUAGACCCGAAACCCGGUGAUCUAGCCAUGGGCAGGUUGAAGGUUGGGUAACACUAACUGGAGGACCGAACCGACUAAUGUUGAAAAAUUAGCGGAUGACUUGUGGCUGGGGGUGAAAGGCCAAUCAAACCGGGAGAUAGCUGGUUCUCCCCGAAAGCUAUUUAGGUAGCGCCUCGUGAAUUCAUCUCCGGGGGUAGAGCACUGUUUCGGCAAGGGGGUCAUCCCGACUUACCAACCCGAUGCAAACUGCGAAUACCGGAGAAUGUUAUCACGGGAGACACACGGCGGGUGCUAACGUCCGUCGUGAAGAGGGAAACAACCCAGACCGCCAGCUAAGGUCCCAAAGUCAUGGUUAAGUGGGAAACGAUGUGGGAAGGCCCAGACAGCCAGGAUGUUGGCUUAGAAGCAGCCAUCAUUUAAAGAAAGCGUAAUAGCUCACUGGUCGAGUCGGCCUGCGCGGAAGAUGUAACGGGGCUAAACCAUGCACCGAAGCUGCGGCAGCGACGCUUAUGCGUUGUUGGGUAGGGGAGCGUUCUGUAAGCCUGCGAAGGUGUGCUGUGAGGCAUGCUGGAGGUAUCAGAAGUGCGAAUGCUGACAUAAGUAACGAUAAAGCGGGUGAAAAGCCCGCUCGCCGGAAGACCAAGGGUUCCUGUCCAACGUUAAUCGGGGCAGGGUGAGUCGACCCCUAAGGCGAGGCCGAAAGGCGUAGUCGAUGGGAAACAGGUUAAUAUUCCUGUACUUGGUGUUACUGCGAAGGGGGGACGGAGAAGGCUAUGUUGGCCGGGCGACGGUUGUCCCGGUUUAAGCGUGUAGGCUGGUUUUCCAGGCAAAUCCGGAAAAUCAAGGCUGAGGCGUGAUGACGAGGCACUACGGUGCUGAAGCAACAAAUGCCCUGCUUCCAGGAAAAGCCUCUAAGCAUCAGGUAACAUCAAAUCGUACCCCAAACCGACACAGGUGGUCAGGUAGAGAAUACCAAGGCGCUUGAGAGAACUCGGGUGAAGGAACUAGGCAAAAUGGUGCCGUAACUUCGGGAGAAGGCACGCUGAUAUGUAGGUGAAGUCCCUUGCGGAUGGAGCUGAAAUCAGUCGAAGAUACCAGCUGGCUGCAACUGUUUAUUAAAAACACAGCACUGUGCAAACACGAAAGUGGACGUAUACGGUGUGACGCCUGCCCGGUGCCGGAAGGUUAAUUGAUGGGGUCAGCGCAAGCGAAGCUCUUGAUCGAAGCCCCGGUAAACGGCGGCCGUAACUAUAACGGUCCUAAGGUAGCGAAAUUCCUUGUCGGGUAAGUUCCGACCUGCACGAAUGGCGUAAUGAUGGCCAGGCUGUCUCCACCCGAGACUCAGUGAAAUUGAACUCGCUGUGAAGAUGCAGUGUACCCGCGGCAAGACGGAAAGACCCCGUGAACCUUUACUAUAGCUUGACACUGAACAUUGAGCCUUGAUGUGUAGGAUAGGUGGGAGGCUUUGAAGUG
RNAcentral lists this ribosomal RNA (1535 nucleotides) under Shigella sonnei. RNAcentral describes it as "partial 23S ribosomal RNA". It matches the Rfam family "Bacterial large subunit ribosomal RNA", at positions 644 to 2164 of the family's 2925-position model. The record is from RNAcentral. Lineage: Bacteria; Pseudomonadati; Pseudomonadota; Gammaproteobacteria; Enterobacterales; Enterobacteriaceae.